RNAcentral lists this ribosomal RNA (707 nucleotides) under Salmonella enterica. RNAcentral's name for it is "bacterial LSU rRNA". It matches the Rfam family "Bacterial large subunit ribosomal RNA", at positions 1918 to 2624 of the family's 2925-position model. The record is from RNAcentral. Lineage: Bacteria; Pseudomonadati; Pseudomonadota; Gammaproteobacteria; Enterobacterales; Enterobacteriaceae. RNAcentral also lists the same sequence under 2 other names.
CCCCGGUAAACGGCGGCCGUAACUAUAACGGUCCUAAGGUAGCGAAAUUCCUUGUCGGGUAAGUUCCGACCUGCACGAAUGGCGUAAUGAUGGCCAGGCUGUCUCCACCCGAGACUCAGUGAAAUUGAACUCGCUGUGAAGAUGCAGUGUACCCGCGGCAAGACGGAAAGACCCCGUGAACCUUUACUAUAGCUUGACACUGAACAUUGAGCCUUGAUGUGUAGGAUAGGUGGGAGGCUUUGAAGUGUGGACGCCAGUCUGCAUGGAGCCGACCUUGAAAUACCACCCUUUAAUGUUUGAUGUUCUAACGUGGACCCGUAAUCCGGGUUGCGGACAGUGUCUGGUGGGUAGUUUGACUGGGGCGGUCUCCUCCUAAAGAGUAACGGAGGAGCACGAAGGUUGGCUAAUCCUGGUCGGACAUCAGGAGGUUAGUGCAAUGGCAUAAGCCAGCUUGACUGCGAGCGUGACGGCGCGAGCAGGUGCGAAAGCAGGUCAUAGUGAUCCGGUGGUUCUGAAUGGAAGGGCCAUCGCUCAACGGAUAAAAGGUACUCCGGGGAUAACAGGCUGAUACCGCCCAAGAGUUCAUAUCGACGGCGGUGUUUGGCACCUCGAUGUCGGCUCAUCACAUCCUGGGGCUGAAGUAGGUCCCAAGGGUAUGGCUGUUCGCCAUUUAAAGUGGUACGCGAGCUGGGUUUAGAACGUCGUGA